GACGAACGCUGGCGGCGUGCCUAAUACAUGCAAGUCGAACGAGACUUUCCUUGGUGGUAACACCUUUGAUUGUCUAGUGGCGAACGGGUGAGUAACACGUGAGAAACCUGCCCUGAAGACGGGGAUAACAGAAGGAAACUUCUGCUAAUACCCGAUACCCCCACCGGAUCGCAUGGUCUGGUGAGGAAAUGGAUUCCGCUUCAGGAGGGUCUCGCGGCCUAUCAGCUUGUUGGUGAGGUAAUGGCUUACCAAGGCUUGGACGGGUAGCUGGUCUGAGAGGACGAUCAGCCACACUGGGACUGAGACACGGCCCAGACUCCUACGGGAGGCAGCAGUGGGGAAUCUUGCGCAAUGGGCGAAAGCCUGACGCAGCAACGCCGCGUGGGGGA
This 389-nucleotide ribosomal RNA is filed under the name uncultured bacterium. Its description in RNAcentral is "bacterial SSU rRNA". It matches the Rfam family "Bacterial small subunit ribosomal RNA", at positions 28 to 408 of the family's 1533-position model. The record is from RNAcentral.